Sinocyclocheilus rhinocerous is the source of this 498-nucleotide long non-coding RNA. RefSeq lists it as uncharacterized. The record is from RefSeq and is a predicted model, not a curated record. The transcript has 3 exons. Lineage: Eukaryota; Metazoa; Chordata; Actinopteri; Cypriniformes; Cyprinidae.
GUACAGUAGUAUGGAUAUACAGUGUCACUGAAGAUGAGCCAGGCAGAACAUGGAAGUGGGAAUGAGGAGUCUUUUCAGCUGACAGACAGCAUGAGAGAUUGCAGAUGAUGCUUUGAACUUCUCUCCUGAGCUUCCAAUGGAACUACAAAGGAAGAGCCGAACAGUUCGGCCUGCAGGUCCCUUGGAUGGAGGCUAUGGCUGGUUCAUAGUGCUUUCCACCUUCCUUGUCUUUGGUCUGACAUUCGGUGUAAUCAAGUCCUUUGGCGUGUUCUUCGUAGAAAUCCACCACUACUUCGCAACCACGGCGACUACAAGCUCAUGGAUCACAUCCAUCUCUGUGGCAACUGUACAUUUUGGGGCCCCCGUAGGCUCCGCAUUGAGUGCAUACUUCGGCCAUCGGCCAGUGGUCAUGGUGGGGGGUCUGCUGAGCAGCAUUGGGAUGGUGGCCGGGUCAUAUGCCCAGGAUCUGCUACAGCUGUACAUCACUGUGGGGUUCCU